Long non-coding RNA from Panicum virgatum (switchgrass), 583 nucleotides. RefSeq lists it as uncharacterized. The record is from RefSeq and is a predicted model, not a curated record. The transcript has 3 exons. Lineage: Eukaryota; Viridiplantae; Streptophyta; Magnoliopsida; Poales; Poaceae.
UGCUCGCGCGCCUCUGGCAGCAGGAGCCGCGAGGCCCCUCCUGCACGUGCGCGUGCGCCCUCGCUACAGCAGCUCGCCGGAGCGAGCACCGCCGCCGGCCGUCAGUUGCCGAUUCGUCGCAGCCGUAACACGGAUUGCAAAUCCAAGGCCACCACGUCGAUCACUGCGUCGAGCUGAAGCCGUUUCGCCGGCCCUCGUCGCCCCUCCAUCGCCGGACACCGCCGUCCGCCCGAGAGCCGCCGUCCGCGGAGCAGCACCUGCACUGGUUGCCGCCGGCCAAUUUCAGCAAAGCAAAGCGCCAGGAGUCUCCAGGAGGCUUGUCCGCCAUGGACGUUUGGUUCUCGAGCUUUUGCAAAAGCACCCUCAAGCAACUCGAUCCGACCCUGCCCUCUCAUCAAAUCAAAGAUCGUUGUUUGAAGCUUAAAGAAUCAAGAAGCUUGUAUGAGCAAGAGCAGAAGAGCCGUAAGAGUAGCUUUUUAUUGGAGAAAGGCAAGUGACCCUAACCAUCUUUCUAUCUAUGCUUAUUUACAAGAGUAUUAUGAUGAUUUAAUUGGAACAUGGAGAACCACCCAAGAAAACAGUA